UCUGACGUUGGGCUCCGACACCGAGCCUGUGGGCCUCUGUCUGCCGGACUGACACUUAGGUGAAAGACCGUCGAUCGAGUAUCCUCAUGGGUGAAAGUGGACUCCCGACCCCCCACCUCCACCUACAGGUUGCGGAGUCCCGGCUGAGCGGAGAAGCAGGUUUGAGGAGGAGGAGAAAACAGGAGGUGAAAGAGAGGUUCUAGGUGCAGGAAUGUGUGGACUGCAGGUGGGCAGGUCGGUGAUGUGCCGCUGAGAGGUCUGCCAGCUGCCAUAUCGCACAGAUCUGGGGUUCAUGACACGGGCAGAGGGGAGAGGUGUUGACGAGUGUAGAUCACACUCCUGCGCUCCCAGACUGUGUCCACACCGAGCUGGCUGAAUCUGAAAAUACUUUUUCUCUCUUUUUGGCCGUCCAUCAACACUAAGCCAUUGGGUUUUUUUUUUUUUUUUUGCAGACUCAAAAUCUGCUAUUCACAGUGGAUAAAUCUAAAAAGGGUUGCCUUGAAUUUUAGUGUGGAGGAGGAAAACAAUUUAUUAAAAAAAAAAAAGAGCAUGUAAUGCUGGUUUAUAACUUUUUUUUUUUUAGUAAAGUUAACUCUAAUCCUUUAUGUGAUCCAUGAUUUUAAAAAUCAAUAUAGCCAUGGGCAAACUAGAACUGCUGUGAGAUGUGGUUGAAAGCUCCAUAAAAAGUGGACCUUAAGGUAAGAAUUCUUUUUCAAACUGUAUUUACAUGGCUGAUUAUGAUUUAUGUUUAUUUUGUUUGUGUACUCCAUUUGAUUGGCUUUGCACUGCAGCUGUGCACAAAUUACUGUUGCAUGUGUGAUUAGCAGAUAGCAUUGACGGCCUGUGUUUGUUUUUUUUGUUUAAUACUUGUUCAGUUGUCGCUCAACAGAAAAAAGAAAAAAUGUGUUUAAGAGAACAACUGAAUUAUGAGUUCAUGUUGGUGCACAGUUUUGUAGUUUUGUUUCAGUGUGAAUGGACGAC
Long non-coding RNA from Thunnus maccoyii (southern bluefin tuna), 981 nucleotides. RefSeq lists it as uncharacterized. The record is from RefSeq and is a predicted model, not a curated record. NCBI's taxonomy places the organism in Eukaryota, Metazoa, Chordata, Actinopteri, Scombriformes, Scombridae. The transcript has 3 exons.